RNAcentral lists this ribosomal RNA (1088 nucleotides) under Halobacterium salinarum. RNAcentral's name for it is "bacterial SSU rRNA". It matches the Rfam family "Bacterial small subunit ribosomal RNA", at positions 159 to 1224 of the family's 1533-position model. RNAcentral also lists the same sequence under 1 other name. Lineage: Archaea; Methanobacteriati; Methanobacteriota; Halobacteria; Halobacteriales; Halobacteriaceae. The record is from RNAcentral.
GGGGCUAAUGCCCAAUACGCCCUGACCUCACCUGAGGUCAGCGGUAAAGCAGGGAUCUUCGGAUCCUUGCACAGUCCGAUGGGCCCGCGGCGCAUUAGCUAGUUGGAGAGGUAAGGGCUCCCCAAGGCGACGAUGCGUAGCCGACCUGAGAGGGUGAUCGGCCACACUGGGACUGAGACACGGCCCAGACUCCUACGGGAGGCAGCAGUAGGGAAUCAUCCGCAAUGGGCGAAAGCCUGACGGUGCAACGCCGCGUGAGUGAUGAAGGUUUUCGGAUCGUAAAGCUCUGUUGACAGGGAAGAACCCACGCCAGUCGAACAGGCUGGCGUGCUGACGGUACCUGUCCAGAAAGCCCCGGCUAACUACGUGCCAGCAGCCGCGGUAAUACGUAGGGGGCAAGCGUUGUCCGGAAUUAUUGGGCGUAAAGGGCACGCAGGCGGUUUCGUCAGUCCGAUGUGACAGGCCACGGCUCAACCGUGGAAGGCCAUUGGAAACUGCGAGACUUGAGGACAGAAGAGGAGAGUGGAAUUCCACGUGUAGCGGUGAAAUGCGUAGAUAUGUGGAGGAACACCAGUGGCGAAGGCGACUCUCUGGUCUGUACCUGACGCUGAGGUGCGAAAGCAUGGGGGAGCAAACAGGAUUAGAUACCCUGGUAGUCCAUGCCGUAAACGCUGAGUGCUAGGUGUUAGGGGUUUCGAUACCCGUAGUGCCGAAGCUAACGCAUUAAGCACUCCGCCUGGGGAGUACGACCGCAAGGUUGAAACUCAAAGGAAUUGACGGGGGCCUGCACAAGCGGUGGAGCAUGUGGUUUAAUUCGACGCAACGCGAAGAACCUUACCAGAUCUUGACAUCUUCCGCUACGCCUCGAGAGAGGCGGUUCCCCUUCGGGGGACGGAAUGACAGGUGGUGCAUGGUUGUCGUCAGCUCGUGUCGUGAGAUGUUGGGUUAAGUCCCGCAACGAGCGCAACCCCUAAUCUUAGUUGCCAGCAUUCAGUUGGGCACUCUAAGGUGACUGCCGGUGACAAACCGGAGGAAGGUGGGGAUGACGUCAAAUCAUCAUGCCCCUUAUGAUCUGGGCUACACACGUG